RNAcentral lists this ribosomal RNA (497 nucleotides) under uncultured bacterium. Its description in RNAcentral is "partial 16S ribosomal RNA". It matches the Rfam family "Bacterial small subunit ribosomal RNA", at positions 28 to 507 of the family's 1533-position model. The record is from RNAcentral.
GACGAACGCUGGCGGCGUGCCUAAUACAUGCAAGUUGAGCGCUGAAGGUUGGUACUUGUACCCACUGGAUGAGCAGCGAACGGGUGAGUAACGCGUGGGGAAUCUGCCUUUGAGCGGGGGACAACAUUUGGAAACGAAUGCUAAUACCGCAUAAAAACUUUAAACACAAGUUUUAAGUUUGAAAGAUGCAAUUGCAUCACUCAAAGAUGAUCCCGCGUUGUAUUAGCUAGUUGGUGAGGUAAAGGCUCACCAAGGCGAUGAUACAUAGCCGACCUGAGAGGGUGAUCGGCCACAAUGGGAAUGAGACACGGCCCAAACUCCUACGGGAGGCAGCAGUAGGGAAUCUUCGGCAAUGGACGAAAGUCUGACCGAGCAACGCCGCGUGAGUGAAGAAGGGUUUCGGAUCGUAAAACUCUGUUGGUAGAGAAGAACGUUGGUGAGAGUGGAAAGCUCAUCAAGUGACGGUAACUACCCAGAAAGGGACGGCUAACUACGUG